Molecule: ribosomal RNA, 481 nt
Filed under: uncultured bacterium
Lineage: Bacteria
Description: bacterial SSU rRNA
Rfam family: Bacterial small subunit ribosomal RNA
Source: RNAcentral
GAUGAACGCUAGCGGCAGGCUUAACACAUGCAAGUCGAGGGGCAGCACGGGUAGCAAUACCUGGUGGCGACCGGCGCAAGGGUGCGUAACGCGUGAGCAACAUGCCCUAUACAGGGGGAUAAUCCAGGGAAACUUGGUCUAAUAUCCCAUAGCAUUUAGAGGAGGCAUCUUCACUAAAUUAAAGCUUCGGUGGUAUAGGAUUGGCUCGCGUGACAUUAGCUAGAUGGUGAGGUAACGGCCCACCAUGGCUAUGAUGUCUAGGGGUUCUGAGAGGAAGACCCCCCAACUGGGACUGAGACACGGCCCAGACUCCUACGGGAGGCAGCAGUGAGGAAUAUUGGACAAUGGAUGGAAAUCUGAUCCAGCCAUGCCGCGUGCAGGAAGACGGCCCUAUGGGUUGUAAACUGCUUUUAUAUGGGAGCAAUAAGGUUUACGAGUAGACCGAUGAGAGUACCAUAUGAAUAAGCAUCGGCUAACUCCG